AUUGAACGCUGGCGGAAUGCUUUACACAUGCAAGUCGAACGGCAGCACGGACUUCGGUCUGGUGGCGAGUGGCGAACGGGUGAGUAAUGUAUCGGAACGUGCCCAGUCGUGGGGGAUAACGUAGUGAAAAUUACGCUAAUACCGCAUACGAUCUAUGGAUGAAAGCGGGGGAUCGCAAGACCUCGCGCGAUUGGAGCGGCCGAUAUCAGAUUAGGUAGUUGGUGGGGUAAAGGCCCACCAAGCCAACGAUCUGUAGCUGGUCUGAGAGGACGCCCAGCCAAAAUGGAACUGAGACACGGUCCAGACUCCUACGGGAGGCAGCAGUGGGGAAUUUUGGACAAUGGGCGAAAGCCUGAUCCAGCCAUUCCGCGUGCAGGAUGAAGGCCCUCGGGUUGUAAACUGCUUUUGUACAGAACGAAAAGGUUUCUACUAAUACUAGGAGCUCAUGACGGUACUGUAAGAAUAAGCACCGGCUAACUACGUGCCAGCAGCCGCGGUAA
This 500-nucleotide ribosomal RNA is filed under the name uncultured bacterium. RNAcentral describes it as "partial 16S ribosomal RNA". It matches the Rfam family "Bacterial small subunit ribosomal RNA", at positions 30 to 523 of the family's 1533-position model. The record is from RNAcentral.